AUUGAACGCUGGCGGCAUGCCUUACACAUGCAAAUCGAACGGCAACGCGCUUUGGGCUUCCGCCUACUGGUGGAGGGUUGCGUAAUACUUCGGAAUGUGUCCGAUCGUACUGUUUCAUGAGGCGUAACGUUUGCUAAUAUCCCCUACGAUCUCAUACGAAAAGCGGGGGACCGCAAGGGCUCUCGCGGACUUGCCCGCCUAUUUGAGCUGAUGUCGGAUUAGGUAGUUGGUGGGAUAAAGGCCUACCAAGGCGACGAUCCGUAGCUGGUCUGAGAGGAUGAUCAGCCACACUGGGACUGAGACACGGCCCAGACUCCUACGGGAGGCAGCAGUGGGGAAUUUUGGACAAUGGGCGCAAGCCUGAUCCAGCCAUGCCGCGUGCAGGAUGAAGGCCUUCGGGUUGUAAACUGAUUUUGUACGGAACGAAAAGCCGUCUUUUAAUACAGGAGUGUCAUGACGGUACCGUAAGAAUAAGCACCGGCUAACUACGUG
RNAcentral lists this ribosomal RNA (492 nucleotides) under uncultured bacterium. Its description in RNAcentral is "partial 16S ribosomal RNA". It matches the Rfam family "Bacterial small subunit ribosomal RNA", at positions 30 to 507 of the family's 1533-position model. The record is from RNAcentral.